GUGAAGCUGAUUGUAAACGAUACAGGUUGUUUCUGAACUGGUUGUAUUUCUAAUUAUUAUUUGACUGAUUUAUUUAUUUCUUGUGGUUUUGCUCGGGUCGACACCGGAAACAGAAGGGUGAGUAAACACACGUACAGACCUGCUGUAACUGUGUAAAGUCUCAUAACAAACAUCAUCAUCCUCAUUCUCUUCAUCAUUAACAGGAUACAGUGAGUGAGAGGGCCAAUCUUAAUGAAAACUGUUUCGAGGUUUUGGCUCAUCUGAAUGUGAUUCCGUGUGAGGACGUGGGAAAAAUCCAGAAACAGGUUGUGGAGAUCCUCAAACAUGGAUACCGCUCACCUCUGGAUUACAACCUAACUACACGCGAGGAGUAUAUACACGUUUAUCCUACAGUCUCAGAUGUAAUUCCUCAUUCAACAAUGGAGAGCAUCACAGUGACAGACACGCCCUCCACCACCACGCCCAUCACCACCACGCCCACCACCACC
This is a long non-coding RNA of Ictalurus furcatus (blue catfish), 488 nucleotides long. RefSeq lists it as uncharacterized. The record is from RefSeq and is a predicted model, not a curated record. The transcript is spliced from 3 exons. Lineage: Eukaryota; Metazoa; Chordata; Actinopteri; Siluriformes; Ictaluridae.